RNAcentral lists this ribosomal RNA (253 nucleotides) under uncultured bacterium. Its description in RNAcentral is "partial 16S ribosomal RNA". It matches the Rfam family "Bacterial small subunit ribosomal RNA", at positions 524 to 776 of the family's 1533-position model. The record is from RNAcentral.
UACGUAGGGUGCGAGCGUUAAUCGGAAUUACUGGGCGUAAAGCGUGCGCAGGCGGUUCGCUGUGUCCGAUGUGAAAGCCCCGGGCUCAACCUGGGAAUGGCAUGGGAAACUGGCGGGCUGGAGUGUGGCAGAGGGGGGUGGAAUUCCGCGUGUAGCGGUGAAAUGCGUAGAUAUCCGGAGGAACACCGGUGGCGAAGGCGGCUUCCUGGACCGACACUGACGCUGAGGCGCGAAAGCUAGGGGAGCAAACGGG